This is a long non-coding RNA of Alosa sapidissima (American shad), 781 nucleotides long. RefSeq lists it as uncharacterized. The record is from RefSeq and is a predicted model, not a curated record. The transcript has 7 exons. NCBI's taxonomy places the organism in Eukaryota, Metazoa, Chordata, Actinopteri, Clupeiformes, Clupeidae.
AUGUACGAACUCUGGGGUGGAGUCAUUUACACUUCCGGUCCUUCAGUUGAGAUUUUUGAAAAGAAGAUGGACGCCAUUGAAGUACAUCGUGGGAUAGUAAAAGGGUCAGCAAAAUGCUCAUCAAUGUCCAGUACCAUGGAGAAAAAAGUACCUCAAACUGCAGCCUGGUUUUUCCUUUCAAAGUUUAAUUCGAGAAGGCACAUCAAUCCACUGGUGCAAAAGAAGAGAACACCUCUGCCAUAGGAGAUUCAGCAGAAAAAGGCCAAACAGAUGGUCCAGGAGGUUCUGGAGAAGAGUUAAAUGGGAGAGGAAAUAAUGGAGGAGUAUAGUAGAGCACCUUGACACACUGUACAAGAAGGCAUCUUCUGAAUAUCCUGGUCCAUGGAUACCAGUACUAAGUCAAGGAAAAAGAUAUGCACUCGGCAUUGUGACUGUUUCCUAAUCUCAGGGAUCCUUACUCCACCAAUGGCUAUGAACACUUCUACGAUGCUGGAAGAGGGACGGGUUAUCUGGCAUGGCGCCUAAAGCAACGAGUGUCGCAGCGUUUGGUCAAGAACAGCUCGGGAGCCUUGGAAUACAUGAACACCAUGAGCUUUUUAAGGAGGUAGACUUUCUAAUGAGGAGACACAGCACUCAAAAAAUCCUUCAUAGAAAUGCAUGGGGUUAGUUUGUAACGUAUGGUGUUGUCUACAUAUAUCACACCCCCCUCUGUGGCAAAACGUGGACAUGUAAAUACAUUGAGCCAAUCAUACAUCGUGCCAAUCAUGUGUUGUGAUCUCAC